AAGACUAUAUUUUCAGGGAUCAUUUCUAUAGUUCUUUACUUGGAAAUGUGUUUCGAAAGUGUUUGUCUCCCAACCCAUGAUGAUGAGCUAUGAUACUCCUUUCUGAGAGUGAAUUGAGGACAGAACUCUGGCUUUGUUCACAAGCUCUGUUGUUGAUGAGCGUUCAUAUUGUUUUUUUGGCAAUGUUGAAGAAAGGAGUAUGAUCUGAGUGGU
Small nucleolar RNA from Cyprinus carpio carpio, 213 nucleotides. Its record names the gene U3. It matches the Rfam family "Small nucleolar RNA U3". From Rfam's summary of the family: Small nucleolar RNAs (snoRNAs) are involved in the processing and modification of rRNA in the nucleolus. There are two main classes of snoRNAs: the box C/D class, and the box H/ACA class. U3 snoRNA is a member of the box C/D class. The record is from Ensembl. NCBI's taxonomy places the organism in Eukaryota, Metazoa, Chordata, Actinopteri, Cypriniformes, Cyprinidae.